AGAGUUUGAUCAUGGCUCAGAUUGAACGCUGGCGGAAUGCUUUACACAUGCAAGUCGAACGGCAGCAUGGAGAGCUUGCUCUCUGAUGGCGAGUGGCGAACGGGUGAGUAAUAUAUCGGAACGUGCCUAGUAAUGGGGAAUAACUAGCUGAAAGGUUAGCUAAUGCCGCAUACGACCUACGGGUGAAAGCAGGGGAUCUUCGGACCUUGCGUUAUUAGAGCGGCCGAUAUCUGAUUAGCUUGUUGGUGGGGUAAUGGCCUACCAAGGCGACGAUCAGUAGCUGGUCUGAGAGGACGAUCAGCCACACUGGAACUGAGACACGGUCCAGACUCCUACGGGAGGCAGCAGUGGGGAAUUUUGGACAAUGGGGGAAACCCUGAUCCAGCCAUUCCGCGUGAGUGAAGAAGGCCUUCGGGUUGUAAAGCUCUUUCGCAAGAGAAGAAAACUUGCUAUCUAAUAAAUAGUAAG
Molecule: ribosomal RNA, 468 nt
Filed under: uncultured marine bacterium
Lineage: Bacteria
Description: bacterial SSU rRNA
Rfam family: Bacterial small subunit ribosomal RNA
Source: RNAcentral